GGAGGGAUGGCCGAGUGGUUUAAGGCGCUGGUCUUGAAAACCUGUGUAUCCGUCAGGGUACCGUGGGUUCGAAUCCCACUCCCUCCG
Molecule: transfer RNA, 87 nt
Filed under: Anaerolineae bacterium
Lineage: Bacteria; Bacillati; Chloroflexota; Anaerolineae
Also listed under: 1 other name
Description: tRNA-Ser
Rfam family: tRNA
About the family: Transfer RNA (tRNA) molecules are approximately 80 nucleotides in length. Their secondary structure includes four short double-helical elements and three loops (D, anti-codon, and T loops).
Source: RNAcentral